RNAcentral lists this transfer RNA (76 nucleotides) under Gammaproteobacteria bacterium CG_4_10_14_0_8_um_filter_38_16. RNAcentral describes it as "tRNA-Thr". It matches the Rfam family "tRNA". From Rfam's summary of the family: Transfer RNA (tRNA) molecules are approximately 80 nucleotides in length. Their secondary structure includes four short double-helical elements and three loops (D, anti-codon, and T loops). RNAcentral also lists the same sequence under 1 other name. The record is from RNAcentral. Lineage: Bacteria; Pseudomonadati; Pseudomonadota; Gammaproteobacteria.
GCUGGCGUAGCUCAGUUGGUAGAGCGGCUGAUUUGUAAUCAGCGGGUCGAGGGUUCAAAUCCUUUCGCCAGCUUCA